RNAcentral lists this ribosomal RNA (253 nucleotides) under uncultured bacterium. RNAcentral's name for it is "partial 16S ribosomal RNA". It matches the Rfam family "Bacterial small subunit ribosomal RNA", at positions 524 to 776 of the family's 1533-position model. The record is from RNAcentral.
UACGGGGGGGGCAAGCGUUGUCCGGAAUUACUGGGCGUAAAGAGCGCGCAGGCGGUCGUUCAAGUCGAGUGUGAAAGCCCCCGGCUCAACUGGGGAGGGUCAUUCGAUACUGAUCGACUCGAAGGCAGGAGAGGGAAGUGGAAUUCCCGGUGUAGUGGUGAAAUGCGUAGAUAUCGGGAGGAACACCAGUGGCGAAGGCGACUUCCUGGCCUGUUCUUGACGCUGAGGCGCGAAAGCUAGGGGAGCAAACGGG